Molecule: long non-coding RNA, 4102 nt
Filed under: Homo sapiens (human)
Lineage: Eukaryota; Metazoa; Chordata; Mammalia; Primates; Hominidae
Description: HSALNT0135468
Source: RNAcentral
CAGCAAAGUCUCCUGGGAGGGUUUAUAUGUUAAGCUCUGUCAGUAAUUUCUCCCCUAGCAAGAAUGAGGAAGAUGAAGAGCUCGGGUAUCUGAGGGCUGGUGUGUCUGCAUGCGUGUGUGUUUUGGGGGCCGACUGAAGGAAGAGAAGGCUGGAGAGAGGGAACAUGGGUCUGAGGGCACAUCGCUAAGGGGUCAAGAGGCCUAAAGGAGGAGUCUAAGGCUCUCCAUCGAACUUGGACUUGGUCUACAUUAGACUUUAACCUCCAUGAGGCUUGGACUUUCAGGCUUCCUCCCUCACACCGCGGGCAGGUGAGGCGUCUGCUACAGGCCUGGUCUCGCAGAGGGGGCCCAGCGCCCCCCGCCGCCGCCUUCUCCUGGAGUCUGUGUGACAGAAUGGGACCUGUGGGAAAGCAGCACGUCAGCACCCAGCCCCGCUUGCGCGCCAGCAGCUAAUUAAAGCCAGGAAGGUGAUGGCGAUUUUCAACUCAUUCCCGUUACAAACAGCCGACCUUCCUACCGAGUUCAAGUACCUUCUGCCUGGCCUGGAAGAACAAUAUCUCUCUGUCUCCCUCUUCCACUGGCCCUCACCUGCCUUCCCCUGAACAUGCAUUUUGCCUGACAGGAGACAGAGGCAGUUGGCUGGAGACAGACGCCUCCAUCCUCCUGCACACAGUCCUGUGCCUGCUUCUGCAGUGACUCCCUCUCCCUCUGUGGAAACACAUGAGGAAUACAGGAAUAAGGGUUAUCUUCUACUGAAGCCUGCCUAGUGUUUAUUACAGAGAUGGAGUCUUGCUAUAUGGCCCAGCUGGUAAUGCCUAGAUUCUUGAGUCCCUCCCUGGCUCAUCCCUGGGAGCAGCACUGAACCCCUUGUCUGACACCUGUCUGGAAAUGGAGCCUGCACAUUGACCCUAGAUGCUUGCAGCUUGGUCCAGGAGGCCAGCAGGACCAGAGAGAAGACCACAGCGACACAUGGGGAUGGCUGUCCCACAGGCAGAAAUGAGCAGCCGGGAGGAAGCCCAGGCAGCCAGCCACCCAGCUCCCUCCACAUCGUGGCCCUAGAACGGAGUCUUGAAGAAUAAGAAGCCACAGCUUGUCAGGGAAUCAGGCUGGAAAAAUGUUAUGAGACUGAGUAAGACCAGAGUUUCUGGGUCAUUGGUGAGACUGGAUUUCAUAGAAGAGUCUUUGCUACAGCAAAACCUCUCUUCAAGCAAUACACUAUUCAAGCUGCUGGAGGCUAGAUUGACCAGAAAAAUGGGGCCAAUAUCAUGAUUCCUCAGCAGUGCCUGGAGAAGACCAGGAGAGGAAGCAGAAGACCCUCCUCAAAGAAGCAGCCUUCACCUCCAGACCUCCCAGCGGGACUUAGACAAUGGGGUUAGGCAGUCACAUGUCUGCACGUGGAAACUUUCUGGGACUGUGCUUGGAUCCUGGCUCUGCCUUUUACUAGCCAUGUGACCUUGGGAAAAUCACUUGACUUCUCCGUGCAGGAUUCCUCAUCUGUAAAAAUGGUCUAAGAUUAGGAGCCACCUCAAGGUUGUUGUAGGAAUUAAAUUAAUUCAUGUUUAUAAAGUGCUUUGAACAGCGUUUGGCACAUGGAGAAUUAAAUGAGCAAACGGAAGAGCAGCAACCCUGAGUUACAUUUCUCAAGACACCGGGGCUCUUGAUGGCACAGCAGCAGCUUGCUAGAGCUUGGUAAAGAGACUUGGGCCUGGUACCUGAAGGGCAAUUCCUUGGCCAUGACAUUGUAGGGAAAGACCUCUAUGGGUGUUGAAAAGACAAGGCGAGGACAAGAAGAGUUGAAAAGGAGCUGUUCUGAAGCCACCUGGCUGUGGAUGGAGGAAGCCACAUGUAGCUUAGGUAGCCUGCUAUUGUAAUUUUUUCUGCAACUGAAGAAUUCGAAAUGGGUUUGGUGGGUAGCGAAGGGCAGAAUCUGGCUUCAAGGUGACAGAGUUUGCAUAGAGAUGGCCUUCUUGAGCAAAGGUAGUGACUCCUACAUUUUUUUUUUUUGUAGAGUUGUGAUACCCAUGAGUUAGUCAGCUUGGGCUAUCAUAACAAAAUACCACACAUUGGUUGGCUUAAACAACAGAAAUUCAUUUUCCUGUAAUUCUGGAGGCUGGAAGUCCAAGAUCAAGGUGACGACAGAGUUGGGUUUCCUCUGAAGCCUCUCUCCUUGGUUUUCAGAUGGGUGUCCUCUUGCUGUCUCUUCAUGUGACUGUCCCUCUGCAUGUGUGCCCCUGGGGACUCUUUCUUAUCUUAUAGUGACACUAGUUCUAUUGGAUUGAAGUGUACCCAUACGACCUCAUUUAAACUUAAUUACAUAUUGUAAGGCCCUAACUUCAAAUACAGUCACAUCCUGAGGUACUGUGUAUUAGGGCUUCAACAUAUAAAUUUUGGGGCAAUCCAGUUCAGCCCAUAAAAUCCCUUUUUGGUUGCUUGAUUCUGUUUAUUUGGUGUCAUGCCUUCCUUUUCCUAAAGAACUUCAUGAAUAGAAUUACUUUCUAAGUGAAAGGAACAAAACUGAUUUUUAUUAAAAAUUAUUUUGAGAUGCUUGUGACAAAUUUUGAAGUAAGUGAAGAUUUUCCUGGAGCUUCUACAAAAUCCUGGCUGAGAAUCCCUGCUUUCUGGACAGUUGAGAAGGAAAUACACUUAGUACAGCUGUUAGAGAGAUAUAGUUGCAACCACUGAGUGCUUAUUAUCUGCCAACUUAAAUAUAUUGCCCAAGGGAAUAACAAAUAUUCUAGUGUUCUUGUUAAGUAUAUUGUCUAAGGUCACACAGCUCUUAAACAACAGCUUCAGGAUUUGAACCUGGAAUCUAUCUGACUCCUAAGUCCAGAUGCUGUUCACCACAUUAGGUUGAAGCAUGGCCAGUGUUCAUAACAUACAACUAUGUCUCCAUAUCUUUUGCUAACCAAUGUUCUUGUAUGUGCAUACCUUACAGGGCAGCCAUUCACCACAAGCCCUACUAGAUGGCUUCCUGUAAUAAGGGUAGAACAGUAGUACUCUCCUUUUGAGAAGUUAUUUGUAAUUUUGUUGGUGGGCUGACAUUUAGGCCCUGCUCUCCAGCCCCAGAGGGGAUCCCAUAACCUAGAUCAGGCCAAUGAUGAUUAUCUCCGUGACUGUAGUGGCUGGUCCAGCGGGGAGGGUCAGGCAGGUAAGCUGGCCCAACCUGAGUCCUUCUUGAGGAUUUUAGAAACUGAAGGUAGGAGAGAAAAAUUCUCUCUUUUCUUCUGGGGAACGGGAUGAAGGUGGUGGGUAGGCAGAGCUGUUGGGAUGUGGAUCCAGGGAUUCUGGAAGUCCUGUCCUCCACCAUGUAAAGAAUACAUCCUGCAGAAGGAGAGAAGGGAGCCAGCACACAGAGAAGCAGAGUCAGGAGAUGGAGAAGGAGAAUCCUGAGAGCCUGAAGGUCCCUGGGUCCAGCCAUUGUCAAGGCCGAGUUCUACCGUCCUUAAGUUGUUUACCUUUCUUUCUUGCUUGCUUCUGUUAGAAGAUGAACACUCAAUGAAAAAUCACCAAACAUCUGAGGAAAGCCAUCAAAAUGAAAUAAACGAAACACACAAGUUCCUAAACACAAGUGAACAGCGUGGGCUGGGUUUUUGUCGCUUGGAACUGGAAACGCUGACGAUAAUGCUGACCUCUGAGCAGACCCACGUGAGGGGCAGCUGUGGUGUGGUGUGAUGAUGCUGGGAUAGGCACUCAGAUGGUUGAGUCUGAGUUUGGCUCUGAUAUUAUAUCAACUGCAUGGGCAGCUGUGGUGUGGUGUGAUGAUGCUGGGAUAGGCACUCAGAUGGUUGAGUCUGAGUUUGGCUCUGAUAUUAUAUCAACUGCAUGGGCAGCUGUGGUGUGGUGUGAUGAUGCUGGGAUAGGCACUCAGAUGGUUGAGUCUGAGUUUGGCUCUGAUAUUAUAUCAACUGCAUGGGCAGCUGUGGUGUGGUGUGAUGAUGCUGGGAUAGGCACUCAGAUGGUUGAGUCUGAGUUUGGCUCUGAUAUUAUAUCAACCGCAUCAUUUUGGGGAAGACACAAUUUCUCAGAAUUUUAUUUAGUUGUAAAAUAAAGAUAAUGAUAUUACAUGCUCUGUCUACCAUCUAGAGUUUUUGUCAAGACAAAC